CAAAUUCCAGACCCUCCCAAACCCCCCACACAGAAACCACCUGCCGCUUUUGCUCGCCAGCCCCUAGGGUUAGGGUUUCCUCCCCCUUCUAUUCAAACCCCUCUCCCCACCAAUGGCCAGGUACCGCAGCCGCAGCCCAAGCCUUAGCCGAAGCUACAGCCCCCCUCGCCGCCGUAGCAGAACUCCGCCACGUGGACGCAAGCGUUUCGACUACGACGGCGAGCCCCCUCGCGACCGCUACCGUGACCGCCGCUCCCCGCCUCCGUCCGGCUUGCUCGUUCGCAAUCUUCCUCUUAACGCUAGGUCUGAUGAUCUUAGGAUCCCUUUUGAGCGCUUUGGUCCAGUGAAGGAUGUGUAUCUUCCUAAGAAUUACUACACUGGGGAGCCACGGGGAUUUGGUUUUGUGAAGUACCGGUAUGCAGAGGACGCAGCCGAAGCAAAGCUGCAAAUGAACCAUCAACUUAUUGGUGGACGUGAAAUAAGGAUUGUUUUUGCUGAGGAGAAUAGGAAAACUCCUCAAGAAAUGCGCACAACAACUCGUGUAAGCGAAGGAAGCUCUAGAAGAAGAAGAUCUCCACCUAGGUCUCCUAGAGGCCACUAUCGUUCCUACUCCCCAUCAGUUUCACCUCCUAGGCGUGACCCAAGGUCUGUAUAUUGUCUCCAGAAGUUUAUGCUAUUCAUAGGCAGGGUUUCAUUUUUUAUUAUAAUGGUAAUAACAUGCACCAUAUGGUGUUAAUAGUGAUAAUUUUGCAUUGUUAUUUCUCACGGAUGUGUAGAUUCUGCAUCCUUCAUUUUCUAUCAUAUUGCUUGAUAUUUUUGGAGGCCAUAUGGAGGAAAUGCAAAGAAGUUCGUCCCAUCUUUUGUUGCCAUAGUUGAAUUAUAUUGUUGUUAUAGAGUUUGCUUGUCUGUUUCUUUACCCCGCUUUUUAUUCGUCUUUUGAAUUGUUUGUUUCUCUUACUCUUUUUUCUUGGUCAAUAUAUUUGUUCUCUCUAACCUUCAGAGUUUUAGUGGGAGCUCUUACUGAUCGCAUGUUUGGACAGUUACCUUUUCUAUAUUUUUGUUUAUUCAUGGACUUGUGUCUGUGUGAUUAUUUCGUAUGGUUAUGAGCUUGUUUACUUCACUCUUUAUCUACAAAGAUUGCUUCUUUUAUGUUUAUGGAAAAUUAUAAUGUCUGCUGGAGGCCUUGUUUAUGCAGAUAGUAAAGUGAAAAAGGAGACUUUUAAAGACUUCGGGGUUAAUAAAGUAUAAAGCAAAAAGAGAUCAUAAAAGUGAUGGCAACUUUAUCUUUCUACCAAAGUCCCUGCAUAAGUACUAUAUAUGCACCAUCAAUCUUCUACAAAUGGGAUUGGGUUUCUCACUCUUAUGGCUUGAGUUUGUGAGCCAUUCUAUGAUUGACUGAACUAACGAGCUAAAUUAGGUCUGGGAGAUGAUUAGAAUCAUAGUAAAUGGUUAUUUCUAUCCUUUUACUAUCAACUGUUAAAAGUAAGUUUUUGAUAAGAAAAUUUGUUGAGUUUGAUAUCUUGUUUUGCAUAUACGAUCCAGUAAAGAAAGAAUAUAAAGCUUGUAGUUGGCCAAAGAAAGAAAUCAUCUACAAAGAAAAGAAGCAAUUCAAAGAUUUUCACAGGUAGAGUUUGGUGACAUUGUUGAAGGAUAAAUUAUUAUCUGGUUUAGAAAGUUGGGGCAAAGAGAGCUAUGAAGUUGUCAGAUGCCGAUCAACCAGUACUAGCUAACACUGAGUUUUUGGAUCAAGUUACAUGUUUUUUGUUCAGAACCCUGAAAAGGUUCAGGGACCGUGGAGCAAAGAAUCGUUAUCACUCCCCUGUGCAGUCUAGAUCAAUUUCACGAUCUCCUUCACCGCGCAAUGAAAGAGACUACAGGCAGUGCCCAAUUCCUAGGGAACGUGUUGAGGGCGAAUACAGUAGGUCCCCAAGUCCAAG
RNA transcript from Argentina anserina (silverweed cinquefoil), 1937 nucleotides. It is a transcript of the gene named serine/arginine-rich SC35-like splicing factor SCL28, with no coding region annotated. The record is from RefSeq and is a predicted model, not a curated record. The transcript is spliced from 6 exons. NCBI's taxonomy places the organism in Eukaryota, Viridiplantae, Streptophyta, Magnoliopsida, Rosales, Rosaceae.